GGGAUAACAGGAGGAAACUCCUGCUAAUACCGCAUAGCCAUGAGCACCGCAUGGAGCUCAUGCCAAAUAUCCUUUCGGGGAUAGCGCAGGGAUGGACCUAUGGCGCAUUAGCUUGUUGGCGGGGCAACGGCCCACCAAGGCAACGAUGCGUAGCCGGCCUGAGAGGGCGGACGGCCACAUUGGGACUGAGACACGGCCCAGACUCCUACGGGAGGCAGCAGUAGGGAAUUUUCGGCAAUGGGGGAAACCCUGACCGAGCAACGCCGCGUGAGCGAAGAAGGCCUUCGGGUCGUAAAGCUCUGUUGUAAAGGAAGAACGGCGCAUACAGGAAAUGGUAUGCGAGUGACGGUACUUUACCAGAAAGCCACGGCUAACUACGUGCCAGCAGCCGCGGUAAUACGUAGGUGGCGAGCGUUAUCCGGAAUCAUUGGGCGUAAAGAGGGAGCAGGCGGCCGCAAGGGUCUGUGGUGAAAGACCGAAGCUAAACUUCGGUAAGCCAUGGAAACCGGGCGGCUAGAGUGCGGAAGAGGAUCGUGGAAUUCCAUGUGUAGCGGUGAAAUGCGUAGAUAUAUGGAGGAACACCAGUGGCGAAGGCGACGGUCUGGGCCGCAACUGACGCUCAUUCCCGAAAGCGUGGGGAGCAAAUAGGAUUAGAUACCCUAGUAGUCCACGCCGUAA
Molecule: ribosomal RNA, 678 nt
Filed under: uncultured bacterium
Lineage: Bacteria
Description: bacterial SSU rRNA
Rfam family: Bacterial small subunit ribosomal RNA
Source: RNAcentral